Molecule: ribosomal RNA, 443 nt
Filed under: uncultured bacterium
Lineage: Bacteria
Description: SSU rRNA
Rfam family: Bacterial small subunit ribosomal RNA
Source: RNAcentral
AGAACGAACGCUGGCGGCAGGCUUAACACAUGCAAGUCGAACGCCCCGCAAGGGGAGUGGCAGACGGGUGAGUAACGCGUGGGAAUCUACCUAGUUCUACGGAACAACAGUUGGAAACGACUGCUAAUACCGUAUACGCCCUAAGGGGGAAAGAUUUAUCGGAAUUAGAUGAGCCCGCGUAAGAUUAGCUAGUUGGUGGGGUAAUGGCCUACCAAGGCGACGAUCUUUAGCUGGUCUGAGAGGAUGAUCAGCCACACUGGGACUGAGACACGGCCCCAGACUCCUACGGGAGGCAGCAGUGGGGAAUAUUGGACAAUGGCGCAAGCCUGAUCCAGCCAUGCCGCGUGAGUGAUGAAGGCCUUAGGGUUGUAAAGCUCUUUCAGUGGGGAAGAUAAUGACGGUACCACAGAAGAAGCCCCGGCUAACUUCGUGCCAGCAGCCGC